UUCCAUCAGUGGACAAUGCCGUCAUGUCGUUUGGUUCCGACACAAGUAGCACAGCCAUGUCGAGUAUCAAUGUUUCUAGACAUCAUAUAACUUUCAUUCCCUUCAAGGUUUGUUUAACACCGUGUCACGCUUUGGGAGACCGGUUUCUCUUCUAUAUAAACACGAAUGUCUACUUUAGCUGGCUGAACGCCAAACACAAACCAAACCUACAGAACCUUUGAGAAAUUGGCCACUUGUUUCAGACCGACGACUGACCAAUGCAAUCAGUCAACUGACCAGAGUAAGCACUGGCCACGUGCCGUGAGCAGACGACAGUCGCCCCUCCGCAGAAGUCAACUGCCAGGUGAGAUGUCUACACGAAGUAGUUCCCCUAAUGACGACCUUCACCAAUAUACCCAGGAAAGCACCUCCGUCGGAGCUGUUGGUGCGAUAGCUGCUGUAUGAGGGGAUGUUCCUGUCGUAGCUGCACACUAUACACAAGAACCCCUAGACUAUACUUUGUAAAGGUGGGACAAGAUUGAGACGGAGUGACAAAGACCAUAAACCGAAAAUCACAAUGGCCUCCACAACGAGGACAAGCAAUUCAAGGUAUUUCGGGCAGUAAAUCAUACAUCUCUCGUCAUCUUUCAGUUGUCAAAACGCCGCCAGGAUGAAAGAAUAAUCAUCAAGAUUGAAUGGCAUCCCUUGCAUGAUUAACAAUGGCAAUGCAUUUUUAAAGCUGGAAGCUGUACGUGUGUAUACAGCGGGAAGAAUAUGGUCUGUUCCCUGAGAAUGUCACGACUACAGCCGUUGCCAAGGGUAGGCUUGGCUGGUACCGCUACCAUAUGCCAGUGAGUGGAGACUGGUUCCACUUGCCUAUGGUACUGUCAACCGAGGAACCAUUGAUUACCAUGGUGUCUCCUGGGAUAUUUCUAAUUGAUCUCCAAUAGCAGUUUGGUGCGAUCUACCACAACUUACUGCAGAUCAAUGGAAUAAGAAAGUCCAUUCAUUUAGUCGUGGUUUCUCAUAUUGAUGCAUAAAUGACCAAAGGAUUUACAGAUAUCUGCCUUAUUUCCAUUUACACCGUUGCCUAGUAACUGAUGAAAUACAUGUAGUUCUGAAUAAAAUAUUUUGAAAAUAGA
RNAcentral lists this long non-coding RNA (1121 nucleotides) under Haliotis rubra (blacklip abalone). Its description in RNAcentral is "uncharacterized LOC124255246, transcript variant X1". The record is from RNAcentral. Lineage: Eukaryota; Metazoa; Mollusca; Gastropoda; Lepetellida; Haliotidae.